Molecule: ribosomal RNA, 467 nt
Filed under: uncultured bacterium
Lineage: Bacteria
Description: partial 16S ribosomal RNA
Rfam family: Bacterial small subunit ribosomal RNA
Source: RNAcentral
GAUGAACGCUGGCGGCGUGCUUAACACAUGCAAGUCGAACGGAAAGGCCCAAGCUUGCUUGGGUACUCGAGUGGCGAACGGGUGAGUAACACGUGGGUGAUCUGCCCCGCACUUCGGGAUAAGCCUGGGAAACUGGGUCUAAUACCGGAUAGGACCACAUUUUGGAUGGUGUGGUGGAAAGUUUUUCGGUGUGGGAUGAGCUCGCGGCCUAUCAGCUUGUUGGUGGGGUAAUGGCCUACCAAGGCGUCGACGGGUAGCCGGCCUGAGAGGGUGUACGGCCACAUUGGGACUGAGAUACGGCCCAGACUCCUACGGGAGGCAGCAGUGGGGAAUAUUGCACAAUGGGCGCAAGCCUGAUGCAGCGACGCCGCGUGGGGGAUGACGGCCUUCGGGUUGUAAACUCCUUUCGCUAGGGACGAAGCGUUUUUGUGACGGUACCUGGAGAAGAAGCACCGGCUAACUACGUG